GACGAACGCUGGCGGCGUGCUUAACACAUGCAAGUCGAACGGAAAGGCCCUGCUUUUGUGGGGUGCUCGAGUGGCGAACGGGUGAGUAACACGUGAGCAACCUGCCCUUGACUUUGGGAUAACUUCAGGAAACUGGGGCUAAUACCGGAUAGGAGCUCCUGCUGCAUGGUGGGGGUUGGAAAGUUUCGGCGGUUGGGGAUGGACUCGCGGCUUAUCAGCUUGUUUGUGGGGUAGUGGCUUACCAAGGCUUUGACGGGUAGCCGGCCUGAGAGGGUGACCGGCCACAUUGGGACUGAGAGACGGCCCAGACUCCAACGGGAGGCAGCAGGGGGGAAUAUUGCAGAAUGGGAGGAAGCCUGAUGAAGCAACGCCGCGUGCGGGAUGACGGCCUUCGGGUUGUAAACAGCUUUCGCCUGUGACGAAGCGUGAGUGACGGUAAUGGGUAAAGAAGCACCGGCUAACUACGUG
Molecule: ribosomal RNA, 468 nt
Filed under: uncultured bacterium
Lineage: Bacteria
Description: partial 16S ribosomal RNA
Rfam family: Bacterial small subunit ribosomal RNA
Source: RNAcentral